GGUUACUCCAGUCCUCACUAUUCUUCUAUUUGUCUCUGUUUAGUGUUUUACUUUUUUUAUCAGCUGCAUAAUAGAUAACCAUAUCUACAUUUGUCUCUAUUUUCUGUCAGGUUAGGCAACAGGAUGGCAGUCACAGGAGCCAUUGCAUUUUCUUUGUCGCAAUGGCAUUAGGUAGUUGUACCUACUGCGGUUGUUACACUAAUAUCUAUUUAUUACAUGUUGCUAUAGUUACAAAGCUUCAACAGCUUACUAUAAAUUAGACUGGUUUGAUUCCUAGAUAUUAUUGUAUUUUACCCGUAGGAUCAAUUUCCAAUGAGUUGGUGCCUAGGGUCUUGUGGGGAGCACAUUUUCUUUAGCUGCUGCCAUUUAUUCUGCUGCUUUCGUACAACCUAGCACUCUUCUGUGGUGGGCAUAUGUUAUUUUGUACCAAUGAUAGAUACAGAAAGUGCAAGACUUCUACUCUCUACUUAAUGAACUGAUUUUGCUUCAGGAUAACUAGCUUGAUUAAUUAGCAUGUUUCUGUGAUCAAUGAAUUACUAAGGUUGUGACCCCAGCUUGGAGGCUUGAGUUCCUUCCGUAGUUCUUUAUUUUACUUAAAUGAUCAUGAACCCUUUACUUAACAUAUGUCCUUUUGUACCUUAGCAAAGGGUCUCGCCACCGCGCGCAGUCCACCUCUCCCCGCAGGCAUGCCGGCCACCUCCCCACCUGAUGCACAUCUUUCCCAUGGGGCCAUGGAACACGGUGAGCAGCAGUGGCUGUGUCACUUGUAUUGAGCACACCAAUCUGCCUCGGUAGACGGCUGCUGAAGUUGACCCACAGGUUGGAGACAAAGAUAGUGUGACAAUUGACUGACCUUGACAUGUUUGAGAAUUAGGCAAUUGAUUGUGCCAUUUCUCUGCGCAUUGGUACUUACUUUUAAAACCGGUAGAUUUUAAGAAAUAUUUCCGAUGCAUUAUAGAAUGCCACCAAAACAGAAUAACUCUCCUGCCUAUUUCCAUUUAUUCUUAACAUUGCUUGUUUUUCCUUAUGAUGCUACA
Molecule: long non-coding RNA, 1037 nt
Organism: Triticum aestivum (bread wheat)
Lineage: Eukaryota; Viridiplantae; Streptophyta; Magnoliopsida; Poales; Poaceae
Exons: 2
Source: RefSeq, a predicted model, not a curated record